This 432-nucleotide ribosomal RNA is filed under the name uncultured bacterium. RNAcentral describes it as "partial 16S ribosomal RNA". It matches the Rfam family "Bacterial small subunit ribosomal RNA", at positions 29 to 507 of the family's 1533-position model. The record is from RNAcentral.
ACGAACGCUGGCGGCAUGCCUAGCACAUGCAAGUCGAACGAGACCUUCGGGUCUAGUGGCGCACGGGUGCGUAACGCGUGGGAACCUGCCUUUAGGUUCGGAAUAACUCAGAGAAAUUUGAGCUAAUACCGGAUGAUGUCUUCGGACCAAAGAUUUAUCGCCUUUAGAUGGGCCCGCGUUGGAUUAGCUAGUUGGUGGGGUAAAGGCCUACCAAGGCGACGAUCCAUAGCUGGUCUGAGAGGAUGAUCAGCCACACUGGGACUGAGACACGGCCCAGACUCCUACGGGAGGCAGCAGUGGGGAAUAUUGGACAAUGGGCGAAAGCCUGAUCCAGCAAUGCCGCGUGAGUGAUGAAGGCCUUAGGGUUGUAAAGCUCUUUUACCCGAGAUGAUAAUGACAGUAUCGGGAGAAUAAGCUCCGGCUAACUCCGUG